RNAcentral lists this ribosomal RNA (495 nucleotides) under uncultured bacterium. RNAcentral describes it as "partial 16S ribosomal RNA". It matches the Rfam family "Bacterial small subunit ribosomal RNA", at positions 28 to 506 of the family's 1533-position model. The record is from RNAcentral.
GACGAACGCUGGCGGCGUGCCUAAUACAUGCAAGUUGAGCGCUGAAGGUUGGUACUUGUACCGACUGGAUGAGCAGCGAACGGGUGAGUAACGCGUGGGGAAUCUGCCUUUGAGCGGGGACAACAUUUGGAAACGAAUGCUAAUACCGCAUAAAAACUUUAAACACAAGUUUUAAGUUUGAAAGAUGCAAUUGCAUCACUCAAAGAUGAUCCCGCGUUGUAUUAGCUAGUUGGUGAGGUAAAGGCUCACCAAGGCGAUGAUACAUAGCCGACCUGAGAGGGUGAUCGGCCACAUUGGGACUGAGACACGGCCCAAACUCCUACGGGAGGCAGCAGUAGGGAAUCUUCGGCAAAGGACGAAAGUCUGACCGAGCAACGCCGCGUGAGUGAAGAAGGUUUUCGGAUCGUAAAACUCUGUUGGUAGAGAAGAACGUUGGUGAGAGUGGAAAGCUCAUCAAGUGACGGUAACGACCCAGAAAGGGACGGCUAACUACGU